RNAcentral lists this ribosomal RNA (443 nucleotides) under uncultured bacterium. Its description in RNAcentral is "partial 16S ribosomal RNA". It matches the Rfam family "Bacterial small subunit ribosomal RNA", at positions 338 to 795 of the family's 1533-position model. The record is from RNAcentral.
CCUACGGGCGGCAGCAGUGGGGAAUAUUGGGCAAUGGGCGCAAGCCUGACCCAGCAACGCCGCGUGAAGGAAGAAGGCUUUCGGGUUGUAUACUUCUUUUGUCAGGGACGAAGCAAGUGACGGUACCUGACGAAUAAGGCACGGCUAACUACGUGCCAGCAGCCGCGGUAAUACGUAGGUCGCAAGCGUUAUCCGGAUUUACUGGGUGUAAAGGGCGUGUAGGCGGGACUGUAAGUCAGAUGGGAAAACCACGGGCUCAACCUGUGGCCUGCAUUUGAAACUGUAGUUCUUGAGUACUGGAGAGGCAGACGGAAUUCCUAGUGUAGCGGUGAAAUGCGUAGAUAUUAGGAGGAACACCAGUGGCGAAGGCGGUCUGCUGGACAGCAACUGACGCUGAGGCGCGAAAGCGUGGGGAGCAAACAGGAUUAGAUACCCCGGUAGUC